UGUAUAUAUAAGGCAAAUUAUAUGUCUGAACAGAAAACAAAAUCUUUAGAUGUAUAUUCUGUAUUUAAAGCAGAAUUCAUGUACAGCUACAAAGUGCAGGCAACUAGUAAACAUACUAAGAAUAAAUGUCUACUUGAUAAAGUUGUCAAAUUGUUGUAAUAUUUUUUUUAUGUUUGCAAAUGUAUAAUCUAGCAAAAAAGAAAAGAAAAAGGAUAAUAUUAUAAUUUUUUUAGAUCCGGAACUGAUUUAGAGAAAUAAUUUUACCUAUCACCG
Molecule: long non-coding RNA, 273 nt
Filed under: Mytilus galloprovincialis (Mediterranean mussel)
Lineage: Eukaryota; Metazoa; Mollusca; Bivalvia; Mytilida; Mytilidae
Source: RNAcentral